Long non-coding RNA from Phragmites australis (common reed), 1011 nucleotides. RefSeq lists it as uncharacterized. The record is from RefSeq and is a predicted model, not a curated record. NCBI's taxonomy places the organism in Eukaryota, Viridiplantae, Streptophyta, Magnoliopsida, Poales, Poaceae. The transcript has 2 exons.
GGGUCCCAUUUGUCAUCGGCUUCCUCUGCCUCCUUCCUCUCGAUUGAGUAACUGGGACGGUGCUCUCCACAUCGCUGCCGCCGAUUGCCGGGCAUGGGCGGCCGCACCAGCAGCUAGCUCCUCGGCCAUAGCCCUUCCCCUGCCCCUCUCCUGCUCUCCUUCUCUCCCUGAUUUCUUCACUCAGCCACAAGGAGCAGCAGGCUCCUUUUCCCCCUCAGGUUUUCCUCUCUGAACAACACAGCAGCAGCAGCCAAUCCGCCCAAAUCCAUCACCCAGGUGAGCCCUAUCUCGAUUACUUUGCCAAGGUGUUCUUCAUCUCUUGUGAUCCUUUGUGACCUUUUCUUGGCGUGAAUACGCAGCCUCACUAGACGGAUUUGAAGCUUUUCCCGCCGCUGGUCUCCAUUGCCACUGCCGAGGAUCUCUCCAUCGACCACCUCGUCCAACCCUCCUCCACUCAGAAGAGCAGCGAGAAGAGCUUCAGAACGUGAAGGUGAAUCUCCCCGGCCCCUUCAGCUGCCUCACUCUCUCUGCGCCACGCGCAGCCGAGCGCCGCCGCCGCCAUGGAUGCCGCUGGCCGCGUUCCAGCCACUGCAUGCUACCGCAGUUGCUUCAAACCGACUCUCUGCGCCAUGCUGCAGCUCCCUAGACCCUCCUACCGCCGAUCCCCGCAGCCGUUCACCGCCGGUAAAGCUCGCCAAUGCCGCCACCACGCCAUGGCUGGCAAGCUUUAGGGAUCAAAAACGGAACGAAAACAAAGAGUCGAAGAGCAACAUGGGUGUGAUCAAGGGUGAACUUGAGCUUGUGAUUGAGGAGGAAGAAUCAGUGACUCAAGGCAAGCAUCAUCAUAUUACACACUAUUUUUGAAUGAAUUGUUGAUGAAUCAAAUGACUAUUAUUUGUAUGAGUAGCAUGCAUAUAGUUAUGUCUAUGUAUACCGUUAUGGUCAUAGCUCCUAAUUGUUGCAUUUACCAUUUAUUGAUAUUUGUAUACCUUGUUCCUUGACACCUACCAA